Molecule: long non-coding RNA, 377 nt
Filed under: Androctonus crassicauda
Lineage: Eukaryota; Metazoa; Arthropoda; Arachnida; Scorpiones; Buthidae
Source: RNAcentral
AGAUAUAGAGCAUAAAAAUUUAUUGUAUAGUAUUGUAUUUGCAAGUUACAAGUCAAACAUGUUUUACUAUAUAUAAAAGAUCAUAUUACUUUAUUUAUGUUUUAUAUAUUCUUUGUUUAUCAUAAAUAUCAUAUUGCUGAUAUGAUAUUGAUAUUGUUCCCUAAGGCAGUGCCUCCCUUUCAGUCAAAGAACAAUAUGGCAGCUCUAACAUGGCAUAGAUGCAACCACAAUAGUGCAUUACUUCUGGUACCUUUUGUUUCAGAAUUUUUAUUAAAAAAAUUAUUUUUCCAACUUCUGCAAAAUUUGAAUUAUUUAAAAACCUUCAUUCCCAAUUAUUUAUGUAAACUGUAGAAAACUUUCUAAACUGCUCUUUUCGG